UGCUGUGUGCAGUGGCAGUAUCAUAGUCUGUGAGGCUCAACUGAGGCAUGAUUACUGCUAAUUGAAACUUUUCCAGGACCAAC
RNAcentral lists this small nuclear RNA (83 nucleotides) under Chelonia mydas (Green sea turtle). Its description in RNAcentral is "U4 spliceosomal RNA". It matches the Rfam family "U4 spliceosomal RNA", at positions 1 to 83 of the family's 138-position model. From Rfam's summary of the family: U4 small nuclear RNA (U4 snRNA) is a component of the major U2-dependent spliceosome. The structure of U4 snRNA from yeast and human has been reported. U4 snRNA presents a k-turn RNA motif in the 5p-SL related to recognition of Snu13 protein. Lineage: Eukaryota; Metazoa; Chordata; Testudines; Cheloniidae. The record is from Rfam by way of RNAcentral.